CUACGUGCCAGCAGCCGCGGUAAUACGGAAGGUUCGGGCGUUAUCCGGAUUUAUUGGGUUUAAAGGGAGCGUAGGCCGGAGAUUAAGUGUGUUGUGAAAUGUAGACGCUCAACGUCUGACUUGCAGCGCAUACUGGUUUCCUUGAGUACGCACAACGUUGGCGGAAUUCGUCGUGUAGCGGUGAAAUGCUUAGAUAUGACGAAGAACUCCGAUUGCGAAGGCAGCUGACGGGAGCGCAACUGACGCUUAAGCUCGAAGGUGCGGGUAUCGAACAGGAUUAGAUACCCUGGUAGUCCGCACAGUAAACGAUGGAUGCCCGCUGUUGGUACCUGGUAUCAGCGGCUAAGCGAAAGCAUUAAGCAUCCCACCUGGGGAGUACGCCGGCAACGGUGAAACUCAAAGGAAUUGACGGGGGCCCGCACAAGCGGAGGAACAUGUGGUUUAAUUCGAUGAUACGCGAGGAACCUUACCCGGGCUUGAAUUGCAGAGGAAGGAUUUAGAGAUAA
Molecule: ribosomal RNA, 506 nt
Filed under: uncultured bacterium
Lineage: Bacteria
Description: bacterial SSU rRNA
Rfam family: Bacterial small subunit ribosomal RNA
Source: RNAcentral